RNAcentral lists this ribosomal RNA (463 nucleotides) under uncultured bacterium. Its description in RNAcentral is "bacterial SSU rRNA". It matches the Rfam family "Bacterial small subunit ribosomal RNA", at positions 29 to 486 of the family's 1533-position model. The record is from RNAcentral.
AAUGAACGCUGGCGGCGCGCCUAAUACAUGCAAGUCGAGCGAGAAGACGUAGCAAUACGUUUGUAAAGCGGCGAACGGGUGAGGAAUACAUGGGUAACCUACCCUCGAGUGGGGAAUAACUAGCCGAAAGGUUAGCUAAUACCGCGUACGCUCCUUGGACUUCGGUUCAGGGAGGAAAGCGAUACCGUGGGUAUCGCGCUCUUGGUUGGGCUCAUGUCCUAUCAGCUUGUUGGUGAGGAACGGCUCACCAAGGCUUCGACGGGUAGCUGGUCUGAGAGGACGAUCAGCCACACUGGCACUGCGACACGGGCCAGACUCCUACGGGAGGCAGCAGUAAGGAAUAUUGCGCAAUGGGCGAAAGCCUGACGCAGCGACGCCGCGUGGGGGAUGAAGGUCUUCGGAUUGUAAACCCCUUUCGGGAGGGAAGAUGGAACGAGCAAUCGUUCGGACGGUACCUCCAGAA